UAUAUCAACGCCUCUUGCCUUGCAAUCUUUUGUAACUUAAGUGUAGUAAAUAUUAACGAUGGAUUGUUGAAAUCGGAAGAUAAAUACAGCUGCACUCAAAAUGGUUUAGACCAGGCAUUUACAAUACACACCUCAACGAUUGUAGAAGGGUUUGUAGCACAAGGUUGUUUCCAGAAAGUAUUCACAAUGCCAAAAUUUCGUCCACGUGAUUGUCCUGCCAAAUGCAGUGAGCGAAGGUUCCAGAACAGCAAGCAACUGCGUCGUCAUUUUCUGAGAGAUCAUCGUCUCGUAGCAGAGUAUUGUUUCAGAUGCAAGGAACCAUUCUUAUCAACAAUGGCAUUUCAAGACCAUAACAGAGCAAAACAUCCGUAAAAUGUGACAUAUUUCUUGUGCCUCUAUGCAUUACAUUAGUUUUCUUUAUUGCAUUCAGGGUGUAUAUUAUGCGUGUGUACAUGUGUGUAUUAUAAACUACACAUCAGAGAACAUAAAAUGUAGUUACGUUAA
Dreissena polymorpha is the source of this 504-nucleotide long non-coding RNA. RefSeq lists it as uncharacterized. Lineage: Eukaryota; Metazoa; Mollusca; Bivalvia; Myida; Dreissenidae. The record is from RefSeq and is a predicted model, not a curated record. The transcript has 3 exons.